AAGGAUGCGUGAGCACAAAGAAAAGACCCUCAGAGGACACAGUGAGAAAAUGGUUAUCUGCAAGCCAAGGAGAGACCAAACCUGCCGGCACCUUAAUCUUGGACUCUCAGCCUCCAGAACUGUGAGGAAUAAACUUUUGUUGUUUCACUAUCACACACUAUCCAGUGUAUGGGAUUUUGUUAUGGCAACCUUAGAAAGCUAAUAGAGACAGUAUUCCAGGUAGAUGGUACAGCAAGUGUCAGCAGCCUGGGGACAUGGAGGGAGGCCAGUGCACCUGGAGCACUGUUGGGAAGAGGGGCCUUGAUAAGGUACCUUUUCAGAAAUUUUUUUUGUGGAGACAGGAUCUUCCUAGGUUGCCCAGGCUUGAUUCAAACUCCUGAGCUCAAGGGAUCCUCCCACCUUGGCCUCCCAAGUAGCCGGGACUACAGCCACACACCACUGUGCCUGGCUAAAGUAUCUGGUUUUCAUUUAAGUGAGUUGGUGACCAUUUGGAGAGGUUUUAUUUUUUAAAUUCAUUUGUGACUUAUUAAGAUGACUUUUUUCGUGAUCUUUCUAAUAUUUUCAUUAAAAACUUUUAAUUGGUAUUAAUAUAUAAUUGUACAUAUUUAUGGGGUACACGUGAUAUUUCAAUACAUGCAGACAACCUGUAAUGAUUAAAUCAGGGUAAUUGACAUAUCCAUCAUCUCAAACAGUUAUUAUUUCUUUGUACUGGGAAUUUUCAAAAUCCUCUCUUCUAGCUGCUUCAAAAUAAAUAAUAAAUUAUUGUUAAUUAUAGUCACCCUGCUGUGCCAUAGAACAUCAGAACUUAUUUCUUCUAUUUAACCGUUUGUACCCAUUAAUCAGCCAUUCCCUACCCCUCCUUGCCCACUUCUCUUCCCAGCCUCUGGUAACCACUAUUCUACUCUCCACCUCUAUGGAAUCAACUUUAUUAGCUCCCACUUAUGAGUAAGAACACGGAAUUUAUCCUUCUGUGCCUGGCUUAUUUCACUUAGCAUGAUGUCCUUCAUUUGGAGAGUUUUAAGCAGGGAGUAACAGUAUAGAGCUCAACAAUAAUCAUUUCUUCUUCUACCAAGAAGAUCCAACCAAGAUUCUACCAAGAAGAUCGUGGGGGAUCCAACGAGAUGGAGGGAAAAGCAAAGAGAAGAUGCGAUGAAGCCACAGAGCAGGAAGAGGCCUCGGUUGCUGUCCUGACCAGUCCUCUCACUUCACCAUCAAGGCCAUGAAACCCAGAGAAGGGAUGUGACUUGAGAUCCAGCCAGACCCAGAUCCAGAGUUGGGAGGGCAGGGGUGCUGCAAUAUGAUCACAGAAUCGACACUCGACCCCUCCCAGCGACCUGGCAAAGUGGGCACUAACUCCAUUCUGCAGAGGUGGAAACUGAGGCCAGUGUGGGGAAUGGAAAUUGACUGGGCUAAGCUUAGAAGCCUGAACUCUGACCCCAAAGCUCUCUCUUGUACCUUUGACCCCCUUGUCUUGUCCUGCAGCUCUUAAGGUUACAGUGAGCCAGUUUUUCAUUUUGCCUUUCUCCAAUGGAGGCACCUUGGAAAAUAGAGAUCUGGCUGGAGCAACCUGGAACAUUUGAUGAUUGGGCUUAUUUAUAUUUAUAAUUAUCUAUAGAGUGAUAAGCACUUAUAUGCGGAAGGAGAGAGUUCCUGUCCUGCUCACUGAUGUAUCAUCAACUUGCUAAUGAAUGAAUGAAUGAACAAAUGCUAAUCCUCACAGAUCCCCUCUCUACAGAGGAAGAGGCUGAGGCUCAGGGAGGUGCAGUGACUUGCUUCAGAGACACAGGAAUCAUGCCAGGAAUCGUCGGGCCUCCCUUUUUUCUCAGAGAAGAAAGAUUGUUUCUGUUUCCUCCUCCGUCAUGCUGGGCUUGUCAACCAGCCAGUCACCGGCCCUCCCUGAGGAAGCGCAGCACAGUCACCAGCCAGGAGAACAGAUUCACCUGCCCCAGGACGUCAGCGCUGCCCACACACGGUGCCACCCACGCACUGUGACACACACUCACACUUGGGCCCCAGACUCCCCAGGUCCAACCAAGGAGAGGGAAUGGCAGAGGAGCGCACAGGGGUGGGGCAGGCACUGAACCCCGCUGGGGAAUGGAGGGGGAAAGGGUGGGACAGGCCCCACCCAGCCCCAACUGUCAGAAGACGAAAGAAAGGGUGCAGGUGGGCUCCGGGUUGGAGAAGAAGAAGGUGAGCCAGCAGAGCCGAGUCACGGCAGCCUGCCAAGCCGACUGCUGAGGCAGAGUUAGCACUGGCUGGAUGAGACACUUCACACUUCACAGCUCCUGAAAAGUGUGGAGGAAAUGCCCACACCCUACAUAGACCAGAGGGCCACUAUCUGCUUGAAACAAAUGGCCCCUUCCUGGACAUCCUUUGUUCCCCUUUAUGGACAAAAUGCUACUACCUUCACUUACACCCUCCCUAGAGAUCUCCCAAAGAAGGAGGAUGAGGGAAGCUGCCUUUGGUUGAGUCUAUGCUAUGUGCCUGACUCUGUGCCAAGCUCUGGACCUCCACCAAGUCAGGUGACAUGAUGAUAUGGGCACUACUAACCCUGGUUUCCCAGUGGGCAAACUGAGGCACGGCACAGAGUGGAUCAGUAACUUGCCCUGAGUCACACAGGCUGGUAAACGGGAGCCAGGAUGGGACUGAAAUGCAGGUCUAGCUCAGCCCAAAGCACAUCACAUCAAGGGUCUCACAGAGCAGGGGUCCCAGGAAAGGUUACUGUGUCAAGCAGAAAAGGGCCAGGCAAGCAAGUCCCCAGCAAGAGCCAAGACUGCACUGUACCUUGCAAGGGGCAUUAGACACUUCCAGAUUUAUCUGGAUUCAAUGACAGAGUGAGAACUCAUGAAGGAAGGAUAAGGUGGGGCUCAGGAAAAGAGGGUCCAAAGAACCGAGGUCUCAUGUGCAUUGAAAAUGUUAGAAAGUUGCCUCGCAGGGGCUGGUGACAAAGUGGGUUUUGACAUAGCUGUGGGGAGCAUCUGAGCACUUCAUAUAAAAUGGAAACACUACCCACACACUCAUUUGCUCAUGUGUGCACACACUUAUAGGUGUGCACUCACACACACACAUGCAUAUGUAUCCUCCCAAUGGGUGGGCAUGUGUGUGGCAUGCAGAGGUUGGUGCUGGAGGAAGAGGGGAACACACACCUACCGUCCAUAUACCUGGUUACUAAUGAGCACCUACUGUAUACAUGGUGCUUUGCCAGACACUGAUUGUCCAAAGGGGAGUCACUGUGAUUCCCAGCUCCGAGGUGGACUAUAUGUAUAGGCACGAAGAGUUAGCUCUUCAGACUUCUCAUCACUCUCCAAAGGCCUUGGAUUGGUAGGUUGCUUUGUAGCUUCCAAAGCACUUCUAUAUAUGUUCAGUCUAAGUGAAAGGAAGAGCCCAGCACGGUGAGUGUGGGAGGAAAUGUGAAGAGUGCCCUGAGCAUCACCACCACGGAUGAGUCUUGCCUGAAUCAAUUACUGGGAUGAGUGUCAAAUGGUUUUCCAAUUCCAUCAUUCCUUCUAUGUCUAUUUAGUUGGCAUCCUACUGCAAGGGAGAGCUCUCCCUUCUCCCCCAUGUAGCGAUCUACUUGUUUAUAUUUGUAUAAACCCAGAUUCUUAUUUUAUUCCAUGUGUAAUCAUCCAUGAUCAUCAUUUUUGGUUUUGAUGUUGAAAUUGUCCCAGAUUGGCCCAUAUUUGGCCAGUGGGAGCUCCUUCAAGCUGGCUCCAUUUCCUUUCACAUGCACGUGCCUAUUAUACCUUGAGCAUGUCCUUACUUCUGACCUGAAAAGAUGCUCCGGACUCAUCUGGCACUUCCCCCCGGCCCAGCCGAAGAAUCAGCUCCGGGUUGAGUAGCCUUUAUCUGAAAUGCCUGGGACCAGAAGUGUUUUGGAUUUGGGAUUUUUUUUUCCAGAUUUUGGAAUAUUAUUUGCACAUACAUAAUUAGAUGUCUUGACAAUGGGAUCCAAGUCUAAACAUGAAAAUUUUUCAGAUU
Molecule: long non-coding RNA, 3978 nt
Filed under: Homo sapiens (human)
Lineage: Eukaryota; Metazoa; Chordata; Mammalia; Primates; Hominidae
Description: HSALNT0331016
Source: RNAcentral